GUUUUAGUAGUUUAUAAACUUAAAACAUUGAUCUUGUAAAUCAAAAAAAGAAAAUCUCUAAAACU
Molecule: transfer RNA, 65 nt
Filed under: Oliarus cf. filicicola HI01081
Lineage: Eukaryota; Metazoa; Arthropoda; Insecta; Hemiptera; Cixiidae
Description: tRNA-Thr
Source: RNAcentral